Etheostoma cragini (Arkansas darter) is the source of this 547-nucleotide long non-coding RNA. RefSeq lists it as uncharacterized. The transcript is spliced from 3 exons. The record is from RefSeq and is a predicted model, not a curated record. Lineage: Eukaryota; Metazoa; Chordata; Actinopteri; Perciformes; Percidae.
GUACUAACCGUUCUAAUGAGCAGGGAAACUAAUCGAGCAAAAUAGCUGGCUACGAAGAUUUGAACUUUGACGUGAAUGUGAUGGAGCCAGGCAUGGGAAAAGAAGGCACGCGGACAGGUCAGUGUCAAAGUAGCCGCAGAGGUCCUGAGAUCACAUUCCAGCUGGCUCAGAGCAAGACGGCCCCCUGCAGGAGAAUGUGACUCAUCCUGUGAGCCGAUGAAACUGUUUGGUAACCAGACGGGCUCAGAGCGCGGAGCUGCCCAGCCAAACUGUCCUUGGACCUGAGGAAAGACAAACAGGUGUUACCUGCAUUUAUCUGAUCCUGUUCUUGGAAGUUUAAACACGACCAACUCAAAAAACCCAAAACAAUGACCCCUUUUUUUAAAUUAUAUUAAAGUGGGACAAUAUAUGACAAAACCUUUGAUGUAGCCAAUCAGACAAAAGGAGGAGACGUUGUCAUGUCGGAUUUGAGAUCGAUUCAGCCACAUUGUGUGUUUUUUCUUUAUAUAGUGUAAUGUGGAAUUAUAGUAUUAAAAUGAUGAAUGUA